Molecule: unclassified non-coding RNA, 392 nt
Filed under: soil metagenome
Description: partial contains 5.8S ribosomal RNA, internal transcribed spacer 2, and large subunit ribosomal RNA
Rfam family: 5.8S ribosomal RNA (bases 1-122)
Source: RNAcentral
GAUGAAGAACGUAGCGAAAUGCGAUACUUGGUGUGAAUUGCAGAAUCCCGUGAACCAUCGAGUCUUUGAACGCAAGUUGCGCCCGAAGCCAUUAGGCCGAGGGCACGCCUGCCUGGGCGUCACACGUCGUUGCCCCCCCAUCUACUCCUUCGGGAUUGCGGGGGGCGGAUGAUGGCCUCCCGUGCGCCUCGCCGCGCGGUUGGCAUAAAUGCCAAGUCCUCGGCGACGCACGCCACGACAAUCGGUGGUUGCGAAACCUCGGUUGCCCGUCGUGUGCGGUCGUCGCGCAUCGAGGGCUCGAAAAAAUUGCCGGGUUCCGGCUCGGCUUUCAACGCGACCCCAGGUCAGGCGGGGUUACCCGCUGAAUUUAAGCAUAUCAAUAAGCGGGAGGA